CCCCCCACCUCUGUUGCUGACUGGCCGCUGGGGGGGCAUGUGUCCUCCCCAGCCCCCCAGGCAGUUGGUUAAGAGGUGCCCGGUUCCCUCCCUUGUUGCCCUGACAUCUGCAGUGUGGUUGGGGUGAGACCUGCCCAGAGUCCCAAGUGGCUGAUGGGAGACAAAAGAGAGAAGGAGGCAGCUGGCAGGGGAGCCCUGGGUGUUUACUUUGCUGUCAGGUUACUCAGCCUUAGCAUGUCCAGUGUGCUAAGUGCUGUGGGCUCUUGAAGUGCCUGGCUUUCCACUUGCUUGCAGUUA
Gavialis gangeticus (Gharial) is the source of this 297-nucleotide long non-coding RNA. RefSeq lists it as uncharacterized. The transcript has 2 exons. The record is from RefSeq and is a predicted model, not a curated record. Lineage: Eukaryota; Metazoa; Chordata; Crocodylia; Gavialidae.